RNAcentral lists this transfer RNA (75 nucleotides) under Acetobacteraceae bacterium. Its description in RNAcentral is "tRNA-Arg". It matches the Rfam family "tRNA". From Rfam's summary of the family: Transfer RNA (tRNA) molecules are approximately 80 nucleotides in length. Their secondary structure includes four short double-helical elements and three loops (D, anti-codon, and T loops). Further hydrogen bonds mediate the characteristic L-shaped molecular structure. tRNAs have two regions of fundamental functional importance: the anti-codon, which is responsible for specific mRNA codon recognition, and the 3' end, to which the tRNAs corresponding amino acid is attached (by aminoacyl-tRNA synthetases). tRNAs cope with the degeneracy of the genetic code in two manners: having more than one tRNA (with a specific anti-codon) for a particular amino acid; and 'wobble' base-pairing, i.e. permitting non-standard base-pairing at the 3rd anti-codon position. The record is from RNAcentral. Lineage: Bacteria; Pseudomonadati; Pseudomonadota; Alphaproteobacteria; Acetobacterales; Acetobacteraceae.
GGGUGCGUCGUCCAAAGGACAGGGCCUCGCUCUUCUAAAGCGAAGAUCGCAGUUCGAAUCUGCGCGCGCCUACCA